RNAcentral lists this ribosomal RNA (460 nucleotides) under uncultured bacterium. Its description in RNAcentral is "partial 16S ribosomal RNA". It matches the Rfam family "Bacterial small subunit ribosomal RNA", at positions 338 to 795 of the family's 1533-position model. The record is from RNAcentral.
CCUACGGGGAGCUGCAGUGAGGAAUAUUGGUCAAUGGGCUUACGCCUGAACCAGCCAAGUCGCGUGAGGGAAGACUGCCCUAUGGGUUGUAAACCUCUUUUGUCAGGGAGCAAUUGGCGCUACGUGUAGCGUUAUCGAGAGUACCUGAAGAAAAAGCAUCGGCUAACUCCGUGCCAGCAGCCGCGGUAAUACGGAGGAUGCGAGCGUUAUCCGGAUUUAUUGGGUUUAAAGGGUGCGUAGGCGGAAUGCCAAGUCAGCGGUAAAAUCGCGGGGCUCAACCUCGCUCCGCCGUUGAAACUGGCGGUCUUGAGUGGGCGAGAAGUAUGCGGAAUGCGUGGUGUAGCGGUGAAAUGCAUAGAUAUCACGCAGAACUCCGAUUGCGAAGGCAGCAUACCGGCGCCCAACUGACGCUGAAGCACGAAAGCGUGGGUAUCGAACAGGAUUAGAUACCCGUGUAGUC